Molecule: ribosomal RNA, 439 nt
Filed under: uncultured bacterium
Lineage: Bacteria
Description: partial 16S ribosomal RNA
Rfam family: Bacterial small subunit ribosomal RNA
Source: RNAcentral
CCACGGGAGGCAGCAGUGGGGGAUAUUGCACAACGGGGGAAACCCUGAUGCAGCGACGCCGCGUGAGUGAAGAAGUAUUUCGGUAUGUAAAGCUCUCUCAGCAGGGAAGAAAAUGACAGUACCUGACCAAGCAGCCCCGGCUAACUACGUGCCAGCAGCCGCGGUAAUACGUAGGGGGCAAGCGUUAUCCGGGUUUACUGGGUGUAAAGGGGGCGUAGACGGUUAUGUAAGUCUGGAGUGAAAGCCCGGGGGCCAACCCCGGGACUGCGUUGGAAACUGUGUAACUAGAGUACAGGAGGGGCAGGCGGAAUUCCUGGUGUAGCGGUGAAAUGCGUAGAUAUCAGGAGGAACACCGGCGGCGAAGGCGGCCUGCUGGACUGAAACUGACGUUGAGGCUCGAAAGCGUGGGGAGCAAACAGGAUUAGAUACCCGGGUAGUC